AUUGAACGCUGGCGGCAUGCUUUACACAUGCAAGUCGAACGCGAAAGGGGGGCAACUCCUGAGUAGAGUGGCGCACGGGUGAGUAAUACAUCGGAACGUGUCCUGUAAUGGGGGAUAACGCAGCGAAAGCUGUGCUAAUACCGCAUACGUCCUACGGGAGAAAGUGGGGGACCGCAAGGCCUCACGUUAUAGGAGCGGCCGAUGUCGGAUUAGCUAGUUGGUGGGGUAAAGGCUCACCAAGGCUACGAUCCGUAGCUGGUCUGAGAGGAUGAUCAGCCACACUGGGACUGAGACACGGCCCAGACUCCUACGGGAGGCAGCAGUGGGGAAUUUUGGACAAUGGGCGCAAGCCUGAUCCAGCCAUGCCGCGUGAGUGAAGAAGGCCUCGGUUGUAAAGCUCUUCGGUCCGGGACGGAAAUACGCACGGGCGUAACACCGCGUGUGGAGUGACGGUACCGGAAC
RNAcentral lists this ribosomal RNA (462 nucleotides) under uncultured bacterium. Its description in RNAcentral is "bacterial SSU rRNA". It matches the Rfam family "Bacterial small subunit ribosomal RNA", at positions 29 to 484 of the family's 1533-position model. The record is from RNAcentral.